This 494-nucleotide ribosomal RNA is filed under the name uncultured bacterium. RNAcentral describes it as "partial 16S ribosomal RNA". It matches the Rfam family "Bacterial small subunit ribosomal RNA", at positions 29 to 507 of the family's 1533-position model. The record is from RNAcentral.
ACGAACGCUGGCGGCGUGCCUAAUACAUGCAAGUAGAACGCUGAAGGAGGAGCUUGCUUCUCCGGAUGAGUUGCGAACGGGUGAGUAACGCGUAGGUAACCUGCCUGUUAGCGGGGGAUAACUAUUGGAAACGAUAGCUAAUACCGCAUAACAGUAGAUAUUGCAUGAUAUCUGCUUGAAAGGUGCAAUUGCAUCACUACCAGAUGGACCUGCGUUGUAUUAGCUAGUUGGUGAGGUAACGGCUCACCAAGGCGACGAUACAUAGCCGACCUGAGAGGGUGAUCGGCCACACUGGGACUGAGACACGGCCCAGACUCCUACGGGAGGCAGCAGUAGGGAAUCUUCGGCAAUGGACGGAAGUCUGACCGAGAAACGCCGCGUGAGUGAAGAAGGUUGUCGGAUCGUAAAGCUCUGUUGUAAGAGAAGAACGAGUGUGAGAGUGGAAAGUUCACACUGUGACGGUAUCUUACCAGAAAGGGACGGCUAACUACGUG